RNAcentral lists this ribosomal RNA (376 nucleotides) under uncultured bacterium. Its description in RNAcentral is "bacterial SSU rRNA". It matches the Rfam family "Bacterial small subunit ribosomal RNA", at positions 524 to 898 of the family's 1533-position model. The record is from RNAcentral.
UACGGAGGGUGCAAGCGUUGUUCGGAAUUAUUGGGCGUAAAGCGCGUGUAGGCGGAUAUGUAGGUCAGAUGUGAAAUCCCUCGGCUUAACUGAGGAAGAGCAACUGAAACCACAUGUCUUGAGUACGAUAGAGGAGAGUGGAAUUCCCAGUGUAGAGGUGAAAUUCAUAGAUAUUGGGAAGAACACCGGUGGCGAAGGCGGCUCUCUGGAUCGAUACUGACGCUGAGACGCGAAAGCGUGGGUAGCAAACAGGAUUAGAUACCCUGGUAGUCCACGCCGUAAACGAUGUGCACUAGGUGUUGGGAGUAAUUAAACUUUCAGUGCCGCAGUUAACGCAUUAAGUGCACCGCCUGGGGAUUACGGUCGCAAGAUUAAA